ACCAGAUACUCGAAUUAGCUUGAAAAUCGUAGCUUUGAUUCCUGGAAUUACUGUUACCGUGACCCAACAGCAUCUCGACUCAACUUGAUCCAUAAUACCAGGGAAAAUGUGGAGGCAUAAUUACGAAUGCCGUUCGAGAGGAAGUGAAACGAUCGGAAUACCGUCAGCUGUUUGCUUUUCUUACCUUUCAGAGAUCUUUCACGGUCAACGUUGAUGUAUCACUGUGUUUUAACAUAAUGGAUAUUACACUCGCGACCAUAUGUCGCUUAAUGGAACGAAUGCAAUUAGUUCUGAAUUUUGUCUCUUCGGUAGUGAUGAGAUUCGUGAUUGAAGAGUUUACAGGAAAGAUUAUCGUAUUUGCAUACUUUAACCCUUUCACACUCUAUAAUCAUAAAAAUGAUUAUUAAAAGAAACUCGAGUUAAUCAUCAGGCUGAACCUUCUUCGUGUUCCACAUAAAUCUUAUUUUCCAUUUGUAUAAUUUUAACUUGCCACGAGCUACUUGGAAAUCAGCUGUGGUAUAUAAAUUGAACAUUAUUGUUAGAAACUACUGAACAUUUAAUUUAUAGUUCUGUUGCGAAUGCACUCGUUCAAAGUGCAACCUAGGUGCAUUCUCGGUCUGAAUUGCGCAUCUGUGAGUCCUUGUACCGUUAUUUAACACGGAAAUUUUGAAAAAAUUUACGACGAGACGAUCGUAAAGUUCAUCGUCACAGAGCGGAAAAGAAAAUGAAUUUUACGCUGGUCAGACGGAGCAGGCGAAAAUUAAAGAGCACGGUGCACGUGCUACCUCUAUGCAUUUUGCAACGUUCAACUGAUUACGAUAGCCGUUUCCCGACGACUGCUCGAUGAAAUAUUACCGAACGUGCCGUGUUACCAGACAUCCUUUGGACUAGAAUACUCGCAAUGUUUUACAGGCCGAACACCUUCUGGCGUCAUGUUUUUAUCUCUGAAGAGAGAAACUUUUUAAGCUCGACAAAUACGACUAUGAUCUAUAAGAAAUUUGAAGAUCUCUCGACUUACUUGCAAACUUAGAAGAGGAACAGGUGUAUCCAUCACCUCUGCCAAACACAGAGCGAUCAUCAUCACGAUGAUAAGCUGACCGUAGACAUUCGAUAGAACGAUCCAUAGCUGCGAACUACGAUAGCCUCGACGGGUACCCUCGAAACACCGUCCAUGAUGAAGAAUCGACAACUUUUCUGAAGAGAUAACAAGGGAGAAACGCUCCGUACACUAUCGCGAAACAGAAUGCCAAGUAACCCAGAAGAGAACAUCUUGGCAGUGGAUACAAAAUGAUGGUGGUGGCGAUGAUGGUGGUGGUGGUCACCAUGAUGUGCAUGAUUAUGUCGAUGAUGAUAAUGAAGAUGACCAGGAGGACGAUGAUGAUGUCGUUUCUUUUAGCUUCGUUCAGCUUACGUUGCUUUUAUUUUCACGUCGAAGAAGACUGAAAUUCUUUUUUUUUUUUUUUAUGGAA
This is a long non-coding RNA of Osmia bicornis bicornis, 1469 nucleotides long. RefSeq lists it as uncharacterized. Lineage: Eukaryota; Metazoa; Arthropoda; Insecta; Hymenoptera; Megachilidae. The transcript has 3 exons. The record is from RefSeq and is a predicted model, not a curated record.